RNAcentral lists this ribosomal RNA (702 nucleotides) under Escherichia coli. RNAcentral's name for it is "partial 23S ribosomal RNA". It matches the Rfam family "Bacterial large subunit ribosomal RNA", at positions 2229 to 2925 of the family's 2925-position model. Lineage: Bacteria; Pseudomonadati; Pseudomonadota; Gammaproteobacteria; Enterobacterales; Enterobacteriaceae. The record is from RNAcentral.
UGACCCGUGAUCCGGGUUGCGGACAGUGUCUGGUGGGUAGUUUGACUGGGGCGGUCUCCUCCUAAAGAGUAACGGAGGAGCACGAAGGUUGGCUAAUCCUGGUCGGACAUCAGGAGGUUAGUGCAAUGGCAUAAGCCAGCUUGACUGCGAGCGUGACGGCGCGAGCAGGUGCGAAAGCAGGUCAUAGUGAUCCGGUGGUUCUGAAUGGAAGGGCCAUCGCUCAACGGAUAAAAGGUACUCCGGGGAUAACAGGCUGAUACCGCCCAAGAGUUCAUAUCGACGGCGGUGUUUGGCACCUCGAUGUCGGCUCAUCACAUCCUGGGGCUGAAGUAGGUCCCAAGGGUAUGGCUGUUCGCCAUUUAAAGUGGUACGCGAGCUGGGUUUAGAACGUCGUGAGACAGUUCGGUCCCUAUCUGCCGUGGGCGCUGGAGAACUGAGGGGGGCUGCUCCUAGUACGAGAGGACCGGAGUGGACGCAUCACUGGUGUUCGGGUUGUCAUGCCAAUGGCACUGCCCGGUAGCUAAAUGCGGAAGAGAUAAGUGCUGAAAGCAUCUAAGCACGAAACUUGCCCCGAGAUGAGUUCUCCCUGACUCCUUGAGAGUCCUGAAGGAACGUUGAAGACGACGACGUUGAUAGGCCGGGUGUGUAAGCGCAGCGAUGCGUUGAGCUAACCGGUACUAAUGAACCGUGAGGCUUAACCUU